This is a non-coding RNA of Paraphoma chrysanthemicola, 93 nucleotides long. The record is from the annotation of a GenBank genome assembly. Lineage: Eukaryota; Fungi; Ascomycota; Dothideomycetes; Pleosporales; Phaeosphaeriaceae.
GGGCUUGUGGUUUAGUGGUAUAAUACUCCCUUAGCAUCUCAUUGAGAAUGACUGGGAGUGGUCCGGGGUUCGAGUACGUUCCCUGUAUCGCUU